CUUCUUCGAUAUCAGUAUCAAAGAUUGUUAAUAAGAUAAAGCUGACCUCCGCAUUUCUGAUUUCAGCGGCAGUACUCGCGGUUUUAAUUGUCGUGAAGCCCGCGGAUUCUUGUCCACUCCGUCAAGAGUAAAAACUGGAACACACUGGUGGACAUAACUUGUAGUAACAAACAUAGAUGAACCUUACGAAGAUGACACCUGGAAAAUGGAACGGACAACCAUUCGCAGACAGGAGAACACUUUUCAGCCCAUCGACAGCCAUUAUCAUAAGAUUAUAGAUUACGAAAAAAAUCGUGUUGAAGAUUAUCGCAUUAAUAAACCGGGAAGGGAGUCUCACCGCUGGAUAAAUACUGAUGAAAACACUGUUACUCACGAUUUUAAACGAACUUGGAAACCUGCAUUUUAAUCAGAAAGAAAUAAUUUUGAAAAAUC
This is a long non-coding RNA of Cotesia glomerata, 432 nucleotides long. RefSeq lists it as uncharacterized. The record is from RefSeq and is a predicted model, not a curated record. Lineage: Eukaryota; Metazoa; Arthropoda; Insecta; Hymenoptera; Braconidae. The transcript is spliced from 2 exons.